GGAGCGGGGGGGCAGGAGGGGCUCAGGGAGAAAGUGUGUGCCGCCCCUGGCCCUCUCUGCCCUUCCGUCCCCCGUUCCUG
This 80-nucleotide microRNA precursor is filed under the name Sus scrofa (pig). Its description in RNAcentral is "microRNA ssc-mir-328 precursor". Its record names the gene ssc-mir-328. It matches the Rfam family "mir-328 microRNA precursor family". RNAcentral also lists the same sequence under 1 other name. The record is from miRBase by way of RNAcentral. Lineage: Eukaryota; Metazoa; Chordata; Mammalia; Artiodactyla; Suidae.